GACUUUUAUGAUGCUCCAUCAUUCCCCAGCUAGGACCUCCCUGCCCGGGCCGGGAUAGCUGGCUGUCAGCGGUGGAGCGUAGGGUAGCGCUUCCUUCCUCCCCAUCUCUCUCUGCAUGCCAAGAUGAGUCGAAAGCCACACUGCUGAAGGAUAAUGGCUGCCUGUACCUCGCGACUGGGUUCUUGUGCUGGGUUCAAGUUCUGAUGACGAAUUGUAUUUACUUCAGAAAAGCGAGUGUGGGGCUGCUCAGACAACCAAGGCUGCCUUUCUGCCUCCCUUCUGUUGCAUUCAUGGAUCUGGACUUCAGAGAAGAAAUUUUCUUUAUGCUAGUGACGUAGCAGAUGCAUUUCUUACUAUACUGAAGAAGGGACAGCCAGGUGAAAUCUAUAACAUUGGGACAAACUUUGACAUGUCUAUUACACAACUUGCAAAGGAAUUAAUCCAUUUAAUAAAAAAUACCAGUUCAGAUGCUGAGACAGAAUGUUGGAUGGAUUAUGUAAAAGACAGGUAAGAUAUUGGUUAUUAUUAAGAGUCACUUUUAUUUUAAAUAAACAUUCUUUUCAGCUUUGUUUUGUACUCAUGUAAAAUGCGAAGUUUUGCAACUUGAGGUAGUACAGUGUGACAUCUUAUUGAGGGGGUCUAUAAUUCUUGUCUUGUCUUGUUAGCCAUCCCAAACAUUAUGGAUACUUAUCUAUGUUGAUUUGGUUGCUCUGUGAAAAGGAGACAUGGAGAUUGUCUGCACUAACCUUUCCUACUUUACCUCAAAAAACUGGUGGAGCUCCUAUCUCCUAAUCUGGAGAAACAUGGGGAUGGGGAUCAUACCAGAACUUCUGGGCUAACUCUUCUCCUCUUUCCUGUUCCAGUGUUGGGAGGAAUAUUGGGUCUUGGUUUAUUGUGUAAAAUGAAAAACUGCUUUAUGAUUUGCCUUGCUUCCACAGUCUGCAGUUCACAGGUACUCUCAUCAGAAUACAAACAUUUGAGUUUGAAAAGUGUAGGAUGAUUUAAAUCAGAAGAAAGUGUAUAAUUGUGGGG
Long non-coding RNA from Sceloporus undulatus (fence lizard), 1032 nucleotides. RefSeq lists it as uncharacterized. The record is from RefSeq and is a predicted model, not a curated record. The transcript is spliced from 3 exons. NCBI's taxonomy places the organism in Eukaryota, Metazoa, Chordata, Lepidosauria, Squamata, Phrynosomatidae.